AUUACGAGUUUACGUUUUUGG
RNAcentral lists this non-coding RNA (21 nucleotides) under Arabidopsis thaliana (thale cress). The record is from RNAcentral. Lineage: Eukaryota; Viridiplantae; Streptophyta; Magnoliopsida; Brassicales; Brassicaceae.